GGUGCGGUGUAGCGUGAUGGGUAAACGACGGCGAAGCCCGCAAGGGUGGUGGCGAAUGAUGCAGGUUCGAGUCCUGCCCCGCAUCA
This 86-nucleotide transfer RNA is filed under the name Rhodocyclaceae bacterium. RNAcentral's name for it is "tRNA-OTHER". Lineage: Bacteria; Pseudomonadati; Pseudomonadota; Betaproteobacteria; Rhodocyclales; Rhodocyclaceae. The record is from RNAcentral.